GAAAGCGUGGGGAGCAANCAGGAUUAGAUACCCUGGUAGUCCACGCCGUAAACGAUGGGUGCUAGGUGUUAGGCCCUUUCCGGGGCUUAGUGCCGCAGCUAACGCAUUAAGCACUCCGCCUGGGGAGUACGACCGCAAGGUUGAAACUCAAAGGAAUUGACGGGGGCCCGCACAAGCGGUGGAGCAUGUGGUUUAAUUCGAAGCAACGCGAAGAACCUUACCAGGUCUUGACAUCCCUCUGACCGCUCUAGAGAUAGAGUUUUCCUUCGGGACAGAGGUGACAGGUGGUGCAUGGUUGUCGUCAGCUCGUGUCGUGAGAUGUUGGGUUAANNNNNNCAACGAGCGCAACCCCUAUUGUUAGUUGCCAUCAUUGAGUUGGGCACUCUAGCGAGACUGCCGGUAAUAAACCGGAGGAAGGUGGGGAUGACGUCAAAUCAUCAUGCCCCUUAUGACCUGGGCUACACACGUGCUACAAUGGCUGGUACAACGAGUCGCAAGCCGGUGACGGCAAGCUAAUCUCUGAAAGCCAGUCUCAGUUCGGAUUGUAGGCUGCAACUCGCCUACAUGAAGUCGGAAUCGCUAGUAAUCGCGGAUCAGCACGCCGCGGUGAAUACGUUCCCGGGCCU
This 626-nucleotide ribosomal RNA is filed under the name uncultured bacterium. Its description in RNAcentral is "bacterial SSU rRNA". It matches the Rfam family "Bacterial small subunit ribosomal RNA", at positions 755 to 1381 of the family's 1533-position model. The record is from RNAcentral.